RNAcentral lists this ribosomal RNA (492 nucleotides) under uncultured bacterium. Its description in RNAcentral is "partial 16S ribosomal RNA". It matches the Rfam family "Bacterial small subunit ribosomal RNA", at positions 29 to 507 of the family's 1533-position model. The record is from RNAcentral.
AGUGAACGCUGGCGGUAGGCCUAACACAUGCAAGUCGAACGGCAGCACAGUAAGAGCUUGCUCUUACGGGUGGCGAGUGGCGGACGGGUGAGGAAUACAUCGGAAUCUACUUUUUCGUGGGGGAUAACGUAGGGAAACGUACGCUAAUACCGCAUACGACCUACGGGUGAAAGCAGGGGAUCUUCGGACCUUGCGCGAUUGAAUGAGCCGAUGUCGGAUUAGCUAGUUGGCGGGGUAAAGGCCCACCAAGGCGACGAUCCGUAGCUGGUCUGAGAGGAUGAUCAGCCACACUGGAACUGAGACACGGUCCAGAAUCCUACGGGAGGCAGCAGUGGGGAAUAUUGGACAAUGGGCGCAAGCCUGAUCCAGCCAUACCGCGUGGGUGAAGAAGGCCUUCGGGUUGUAAAGCCCUUUUGUUGGGAAAGAAAAGCAGCAGGUUAAUACCCCGCUGUUCUGACGGUACCCAAAGAAUAAGCACCGGCUAACUUCGUG